ACGUCAGGUCAGCUUGGAUUGUACUGAAGGCAAGCAAGAACUAUUCAAGAACUCAUUCUGCUUCUUUGUACUGCCACACCUUGUAAAUCCUCCGUUUGUUAGCUACGUCAUUCCAGCCGGAUCAUGGAUGGAGUAAAAAUCAUGGCCAAGUAUGAACUUCAAAAGCAUACCUUGGAGCAAUUACAAGAGCCAGGCAAGAAGGAGGCUUAGGAUUGAGUGACUGGAUUCCCUUUAUAUAAGUAGACUAUCAUACAGUCAUCAGCCAGAAGAACUAAAUGAGCUCAUGAAACAUGGAAAUUAGACUAAUGCAUCAGGGACCAGUUCCAUGACGAGAUCAGAGAGAUGUUUGGUUGUCCCACACAGAUCUUAGGUCAGCCAGCAACAUCUUCCCGAUCAGACCACUAACUCAAAACUCAGCAAGCUUGGAGGAAUAGUUUGAGAA
Molecule: long non-coding RNA, 442 nt
Filed under: Lytechinus variegatus (green sea urchin)
Lineage: Eukaryota; Metazoa; Echinodermata; Echinoidea; Temnopleuroida; Toxopneustidae
Description: uncharacterized LOC121420495, transcript variant X2
Source: RNAcentral